CAGAUGAUGGCAGAAGAGAUCACACUUUCCACAACAGACUUAUAGAAGAUAUGCAGCAUCUUGCUGCAAACACCAAAGGACCUAAGCUUCCUUUGCUUCUAUUUGCCUUUAUUUAGUGCCUCUAAAUAAACAUCAAAAUAUCGAUAUAUCUCUUAUAAUAUAUUGGAAAGCCAUCCAAGCCUGGUGACUUUGGAUUUUUCAUAGAUGAGAAAGCAGCCUUUAUCUCGUUUUCCAUCAUAGGGGUUUCCAACUUUGCUUUUUAUUUAUUAGUGAGAGUUGGUUAUUGCAGACCAGAUAAAACAAUUUUCCGCUUCCUCCUCUUCAAGAAUGCCAGUGGAGGUUGACAAAUCUUGGUAGAAUGACUUAAAGAUCAAGUUAAUUUCUUUUGAAGAUGUUACCACUGGGUUAUCCUUUUUAAUCAUUGAUAUUUUAUUCAGGUUAUCCUGUCGCUUUAAUUGUCUCGAGAAUAAUCUUCCGUUUGUUGGGGUCUGGGAGACUGUCUCCUCUUUUGCCUGCUGCUUCCUUAUUCCUCCCCGAGGUGGCGUCUGAACAUGGUGGCUGGGUGCUGCGACAGGUGUUGCUCAUCAAGCCUCACUAGAAGAGGGUUAAGAGGAGUCUGCUGCCAGCACUUCGAUGCUUGAGUGUUAACCAACUGUGGUAAAGCUCUAGACCUCUGAUGUUCCUGGAUCCUCGUUCAGAAGGACCAUCUCACCUCUUGUGUGUUCUCCAUCAGGUUGCCCUGUGUUCUGGAUCCCGUUCCAGCUCGUUUCCUGAACUUACCUGCAUGAAUUCACAUUAUCUCCUUUGGGUUGAAGUUUUCGACUGGCAGCGGUCUGACUCCUCCCUCCUCGGACUCCCCUAUGAUCGAACCCUGCUCACCCUCCACCGUGUUCACCUUCCAAGCCACCCUGCAAAGACCCGUCACACCAUGCCAAGCUCACCUUCCUCCUGGAUCAACUUCACCAAAAUACCUGCUGAGAGAUUCAAGCUAUUCUGUGACCAUUGUGGGCUUUUCUUUCAAUAACGUGGGGUACCAACAAAUUUGUCCACGUGUGUAUGACGAAGGUGAGAGUCCAGCAAACACGCUACAGAGAAGACAUGCAGAUUUCUUUCCAGUCAUAAAAAACUGCACCAGCCAACAGGAGGUGUCACCACUUAGCCAUAGCACUAAUAAGAAGAGAAACAUGAGGUCUGACAAAAACUAUGUGGUGAAGGAAAUCAUUCUUUUUGUUUUAUUUGAAUCAUCAGCUGCAUGACGGCCAAUCACCAUUUAGUUUGCUUAGUGCAAACUAGCCAAUGACAGCCAACAUUGUUAAGACACUGAGCUUUGUACUGACAGAGCACACGCCCCCUUAACUUCAUUCACUUUGUAUUGAAGUUUUUGAUCUUUGUGAUGUCAAAUGCAACAAGUUUAUAAGAAGUUGCUUAUCCAAUUACUGUGCCACUAGUGUGCUUGAAAGGGAAUAUAUCCUCAAAUACUUCAACAAUAAACUUUUCCCAACUGUCGGGAGUGCAUCCCUCA
Molecule: long non-coding RNA, 1522 nt
Organism: Girardinichthys multiradiatus
Lineage: Eukaryota; Metazoa; Chordata; Actinopteri; Cyprinodontiformes; Goodeidae
Exons: 2
Source: RefSeq, a predicted model, not a curated record